Cyprinus carpio carpio is the source of this 3929-nucleotide long non-coding RNA. NCBI's taxonomy places the organism in Eukaryota, Metazoa, Chordata, Actinopteri, Cypriniformes, Cyprinidae. The record is from Ensembl.
GUUGAUAUCAAGAAUACAUAUCCUGCGAAUGAAUAAAAGUCAAUUCGGCUUGCCAUAGCCAGCGAGUCUGAGCCAAUCACAAAGUUCAGAACGACUGACGCACAUACGUCAUAUACUUGCAGGCCUUUGUGACGCGCGAGUCGUGAAUCAACUGAUGUUGUGUUUAAAUGAACUCUCUGCGUGAUUUCCCAAGAUUUCCACGCCACGAAAUGUAUGAGGAAAUGUCAGUAGAAAGAAACUGGACGGACACCGAGACGAGAGCGCUGCUGUACAUACGACAGGACGAAGAUAUCAGCAGGCAAAUCAGCGGAACGGUUCGCGAUUCUCUUAUUUACGCUGAAAUCUCAAGGCUUCUCCGCGCGCAAGGUAUCCACAGAACCAAGCGGCAGGUCACCACCAAACUGAAAACACUCAAGCAGAAGUUCCUGAAAAUACACGAGCAUCACAAAAACAACGGGCACGGCAGAGUGUACUGGAAUUAUUAUGAUCUCUGCACGUCCAUUUGGGGCAGCAACCGCCCCGCGGACGCUUUAAUACUUCACAGCAACGUGAAACUCGAAGAGCCGCAGAGUACGUCCAUUGAGGACGCGCGAAAUGAGCGCAGAUCCACCGACAUCGAGGAGGUGUCGGUCAGUCACGACGAGGAGACGGAGGACGUGGCAGACGUGGUCGCUCAACCUGUGAGGAAGAAGGCCAAAAAACGUUCAAUUACCGACUCUGUGAGAGCUCAAGAACCUCUCCACGUGCAAAACCGGAGGGAGUAUGAGGAACGAUUGCGCAGGGAAGCCAGAGAGGAACAGAAGGAGGAACGGGCGAGUCUGAUGGCCAUGUGGAAGGAGAUGAUGGAGUUUCAAGGGAACCUCUUAAAGGAGUUCAUACACCUCCCAUCUCUUCCUUCACAUCCAUCUUACCACAGACAUGCUCUUCACAACCAAGCACUCUCUAGUUUUCCAAGCACUAGCUACAUGCUCCCGUACGACUCGCCAGGAGCUGAAACUGAGAAUGAAAGUGCAAUCUCACAUGAAGAAGAGGAGGAGGAGGAAGAGAAAUACGUUAUUCCAGCUGAGAUUGCACCUGUUAACUGUGGAAACGACAGCCAAUCAAACACAGCAGAGACUGUUUCACCCCCGCCUACACAAUCAGCAGGAAAGAGCGAUCUGGAGAUGUCUGUGCUACGCAGACAGGAAAGAGUCUUACAGCUUCAGGAAGAGUACUAUUCACUCAAAAUCAACUAUUUGAAACACAAGAUGACCAAGGAUCCAUGACAGAAUGCUAAAGAGGAGUGUUAACUCUUUUGCUCUUUCAGUCUGUGAAAACUUGCAAUGUAGAUGUUCUCAGCUGGACUGUGGAAAAUACUGGUGUGUAUGCGUCUGCACACCUCAUAUUCCUUAUAACUCUUAUUACAUAUUUUAACCAGUAGAUGGCUAGGUGGUCACUUCAUAUUUCCUGGUGUCAUUAGACAUGUGCAAGACAGAUUUACAGCUAAGGCUUGGUUUUUCUUUAAAUAUAUGAAUAUUUAUAUACAUUUGCUCAUUUUUAUGGCAGUUUACUAGCAGGUGUUUUUGAGGCAUUAUUUAGCAAAACUCUCCAUUUUCUCCACUAAACGUUACUGGUCUUAUUAUAAAAGAUUUAGUUUGUUGUGUAACAAUCAAUCACACAAUUAUGUCACAAUCAAUUUCUGAUGGAUAACAGUCUUGCUUUUUCUUCCCAUCUGAGGUUCUGUUUAGCACAUUAUGGCUGUAAAAUGGGUUGCAAAUGCAGUUUAAUGUUGACUAUAGGAACUACCCUGAGCUAGAUGUUACACUUCUACUGUGGAGUAUGUCUGUUACCAUUAUUUUUCAUUAAAUUAAUGAAAACCAGCGAGGAGUCAGAAACAGUAUGCAAAAUACUAAAUCAAAAGCAAAAGUCUUUUUCAAAGAAUUGUUUAAAGCAGGGAUUCCCAAACUCUUUUUUUAGUCAAACCCCCUUUGAACUAAAAUAUUUUCUUGAGAUUUUAAUUUAUUUGAAGAUUGCAUGUUCACGGUUCUGUGAUGUCAGUUAAUGGUCACAUGGCAUGCAGGUAAACAAAUAAAAUAUUGUUUUUAUUUUGAAGGUAUUUAUUUAAUUUGCAUUAUAAUUUAUAUAUAUAUAUAUAUAUAUAUAUAUAUAUAUAUAUAUAUAUAUAUAUAUAUAUAUAUAUAUAUAUAUAUAUAUUGGCUUUUCAAUAUCUCUCAACCCUCUGUGGUUCCUUUGUGUUCAAAGGAACAAUUAAUCUGCAUACAAAAAAAGAAAAAUCUGUUGUUCUGAACCCUUAUGCUGUUAUUUGUUCUGUACACAGCUCUUACAACAUCUGUCAAGCUUUGAAAGGGACCAAAAGCACACAAGUCGUGUGGAGUAUUUUGUGUUCCCUUAUGUCUGUCAAACUCCAAAAAAACUCUUUUUAAGCUUGACAAACCCAGGUCACUGUGAACUGUCAGUGUGUGGCAAGAGCUGUGCAACACUUCUUCCAAAAUGUCUACAUUUGUGUUUCACAGAAAAAAAAAUAAGAGCAUACAGGUUUGGAAUAACAUGAGUAAAUAAUGACAGGAUUUUAUGUUAUAGCUCCAAAAGCUCCAGCUAUAUAUAUAUAUAUAUAUAUAUAUAUAUAUAUAUAUAUAUAUAUUUUUUAUUAUUCUUCAGUGUUCUUUUCUGUUCAUUAUCACUCUCUUUCUCUUGUAUUUUCACUUCCAUCUCUCUGUUGUUUCCAGUCUCCCUCCUGCUAUUACUUCUCACAUGAAGACAUUAAUGUUUAUACGACAGACCUGUCUUUUGUUCAGUGUUUUUGUUUUAAAAUGAUGUUUGAUGCCAAGUUGGCUGGGAUUUUCCCUUUCUUUAUUGUUAAUUUAUAAUUUUUUGUUUCAGUCUUUUGUGGAGAAAAAGUUUAUAGAUCUGAACAUGAAGGUAAAAAAAACAACAACAGUAAAUUAAAAGAUUUCCAAUUAUAAGGAAUGUUUUGGAUUACAUACAAAUCAAUACCUAGAGCUUUAUAGAGCUUAUAUCUAUAACAUGCUGUUGAUUAUAUAAUCACAAAUAUACAUUUUAUUUAAUGUAUUUGGGGCAGAUGCUUUUAUUCAAAGCAACUUGCAUUAAAGCAUGUAUUUAAUACAAAUCCACAUUUUUUAAAGUUAAUGCGAUACGCUGAGAACUGAACCCAUGAUCUCAGUGUUGUUAAUGCACGCUCUACUGUUUGGGCUAUAGGAAUGGAGCUAAUCAUUUUGAAUUGUCCUUAAAUUUGUAAAAACAAGUUACAGUUGGUCAGUAAUGCAUUACCAGUAGUAUACAUAUAUGUAAAGAAUUCAUAUAAGUGCUUUAAAAACAAAAAUACAAGCUGCAUAUUUUAUGCUUUUAAUCCCACAAACGUUUAUGUAUCGGCAUCUGUGGUUCCAUGAAGAACUUUUAACAUCCAUGGAAACUUUCCAUUGUACAAAAGGAAAAGUGUUCUUUAGAUUUUUAAAUUGUCCUUCACACUAUGAAAACUAACAAAAAAAAAAAAAAAAAAACUGAAAGGUUCUUUGGGGAACCAAAAAUUGUUCUUCUCUGGAAUCACUGUGAAAACCCCUUUGGAAGUUUUAUUUGUAAGAGUGCACCAGUUCAUUCAUGUAAAUAUGCUGUACACUUUUUUUCCUUUAACUGGCAGAUGAGAUGAAAUUGUCUGUGAUAAUCAAUGAAAUGCCACAAAUGUCAUUCAUAGAUAAUAUGUUUCAUUGAACUUUUACAACUGAAAGUUUGUUGGAAGCAUUAAGUCUGCAGCAGAAAGUACAUAUUGUAACCUUGAAGUAUUUGUCAGGGCUUCAUAAAACACAACAAGUCUAAGGGGCUUUUUUGGUAAAGCCGAAUGUUCUAUGAAAUGACACCCCUGUGAAAGCAGAAAGUAAGUAAUUAAUAAAUAACCGGAAUAAAUAUAUAAAAAC